GAAAGGGGGUGGAGCUGGGGAUGGAUGGAACCAGGGAUGGAGCCCAGGGUGGGGACUGGGAUGGAUGGAGCCGGAGAUCAGGAUGGAACUGGGAACGGAGCUGGGUUGUUGCCAGGCCCUGAAGUGAAAGCCAAAACUUCCCGGUGGAGAUCCCAGAAGCUCCCGCAGGGCAGGGGGAGCUGCCAGGGAGCAGGAGGAGCUGGGAAAUGUCCCGCUG
Molecule: long non-coding RNA, 217 nt
Filed under: Parus major (Great Tit)
Lineage: Eukaryota; Metazoa; Chordata; Aves; Passeriformes; Paridae
Description: lncRNA (ENSPMJG00000014462.1)
Source: RNAcentral